RNAcentral lists this long non-coding RNA (1368 nucleotides) under Parus major (Great Tit). RNAcentral describes it as "lncRNA (ENSPMJG00000009599.1)". The record is from RNAcentral. Lineage: Eukaryota; Metazoa; Chordata; Aves; Passeriformes; Paridae.
AGGGGAAGGUUGGGAGCAGAUGUUUGCAAGAGCCAGGAGGGUGGUGAGCCAGUGGAACAGGCUGUGCAGAGAAGCUGUGGAUGCCCUGUCCCUGGAAGGUUCCAGGCCAGGCAGGACGGGGCCCUGAGCACCCCGAUGGAGCGGGUGGCAGCAGAACCAGGCCAUGGCUGUGGUGCCUCCAUGGCCUUCUGGAACUGCAUGGGUGAGCAAAGCGGAGCCCUGUUAGCUGGGCAUGAAAUGUUGGCACCAGUUGCCAGGGGCACUCCUGCUCCCAAGGUUCUGUUGAAACAGAGACUGUUGAGCCAGUUGACAGAUUCUCUGCUGCACAGCACACGCAGAGCAUCCGUCUUCUCCAUCGCGGCUGGGAAUAGUCAGUCAUCCGCUGACAUUUGUGAGCCAAACUCUGGAGUGACUGUACAGGUGAGUGCAGACAACACUUGACAAUUCUGAUUGUCAUGCUUGAGGGGCUGGUCUGGGCUGCAGCAUGGGCUGCAGGUGGGUUCAAGUGCCAGAGUCACGGACUUCCCCUCUAGCUUUGAACAGGACCUGAAGACUUGGGAAUGGGAGUCUUGGGGCAUGGGGGUAUUCGAGAAAAUUGGCAUUCCAAAUAGAUCAUCUCCCCUGUACUUUUCUGAUAGGUUUGGAACAACAGUUUUGUGUCGCUCCAAAAAAUCUGCAGUGGGCUGCCCAAAGGAACAAAAAGGAUUGAUCAAAUCCCUGACAUUCCUUUUCUGGUCUUUGUCCCACCUACUUUGCCAGUGCAUUUAGAUCAGAAAACACCAUGAGCUCACAUCAGCAAAAGCGCCCGGGAAAGGCGUGUGAUUCCUGUCCACCUCGGAAACGGAGGAGGCUGCUGCCCUCCAGAGCAGGUGGAAGUUGGCAGACAGAGCCAACAGACCAUGAGGAAAGUUGUUCACCUGCUCUAGAAUCUGAAAUCAUAGAUCUCACAGGUGAAUCUUCUGAGCCUGAAGUCAUCACCAUCAAUGACAAAGAAUCUCCUGUGCAGAGCCAGCAGCAGCCACACCUUUCCAGGGCCCCAGAAAAUUCAGCUGAGCCACUGGAAAGGAAUGAUGAAGAGGAAGCAAGAGAAGAUGAUGGGGCACAGCCAGCAGAUCCUGCUAGUCCUCUGAGUAGGGAGGAUGACAACUCAGAGGAGCAGGACAGGGAGCAGAGUCAGCUGUAUCCCCUGGAUUCCAGCGAGACAGAGGAUUCAGCUGAGCUUUGGCCUAGUGACAACGAAGAGGAGCCAAGAGACAACGAUGAGUAUGUAACAGAUGAUGUGUCUCCCCAAAGUGUCAUUGCUGAUAUAGGGUAGACACAGGUUUUUGCCAAACUGUUGGAAUCUGCUUGAUUCUGUGAGAAGGAAUC